CUUUGUUUAGCUGGGGAGCGGAUUGGAUGGGAUUGACCGAGAUGGCUAGAAACGGCGAAGUGAAGGGGGCUCCUCACCGGUGAUUAGCGGCAAGGCCGGCCGGGCGGAGAUGGCGGGCGACGAGCCUCCUGCGGCGAGAAGGCGUGCUUCACUGGGACGGUUAUAGGGGGGGAUGUUGGUCUGGAGAGGAGCUCGACGAACCUUUCCCAUCGUGCUCGCCAUCAAAAAGCUCACGUCUGUAGCGAAGCUUAUAGUCGCCGGCGCGGGCGCAAGUAUGCAGGGGUAGGGAUUGGGGUAAGGGGCGUACCUUAGUUGACCCCGCAGGCGGCGGCUCCAAGUUUUCGUGAUCUGGAUCGCAAGGAGCAUCACACCCAGCUUAGUUGAGGAUUUCUAUAGUUCUUAGUCUCCUUGUGUUUCAGUUUUUCUCUCAUUGAUGGUUUAGUUUUUAGUCUCAGUUUCAUACUUCUUAGUACCAUUUUUUGAACGACAAAGCUAAAUUUCUGCCGACUGGUCGUUAGCGACAGGCACGUACGAUUCGCUCGCCUCGUCCGAUUCCCAUCACGCGGUCAAGAUUCAUCAAGGCGCUCCACUCUGUGAGAAAAAGAAAGGGAAGAAAGGGCGGCCAGGACAGGAUUCGAACCCUCGACCUCCUACAGAUCACUCCAUGUAAUGCAAGAAUUGGAGGCAAUUUGUGCUUUCAGGCAACAGAGCGGCCCACAUACGUUGUUGAGCUGAAGAAAGGGCUCACAUCCAUGGCGAUAACCGGGAGAGCUUCACUGGGGUACGAGCUUUAAGAGGGAUAUUUGGUUCAUUUCAACAUGGAUGGCUUGGUGCCAGCGAGGUUGACGAAGCCAUGGACUCUGCCGUGUUCACUAAGUCCAUUGACAUGAACGAACAUGAGCUUUUCAAGCUUUUUGUCCUUUUGACGUUCAGUCUUGUUACGUGAGGGUGCCUUUUGUUCACCGCAUGACCAAGACUAACAUCGAUCAAUAGACGAUGUACAUCAUCCCUUUGUCAGAUUAUUUUGUUCAUUUUUCCUUCAUUAUUUGUAGUAAAUUUAUUUUGUAUUUAGCUUUUAUAUGUCUCCAUACGUAAAGUUAAAUAACUCCGUUUA
Molecule: long non-coding RNA, 1114 nt
Organism: Triticum dicoccoides
Lineage: Eukaryota; Viridiplantae; Streptophyta; Magnoliopsida; Poales; Poaceae
Exons: 3
Source: RefSeq, a predicted model, not a curated record